Molecule: ribosomal RNA, 491 nt
Filed under: uncultured bacterium
Lineage: Bacteria
Description: bacterial SSU rRNA
Rfam family: Bacterial small subunit ribosomal RNA
Source: RNAcentral
UGGGGAAUUUUGGACAAUGGGCGCAAGCCUGAUCCAGCCAUGCCGCGUGGGUGAAGAAGGCCUUCGGGUUGUAAAGCCCUUUCGGCUGGGACGAAAAGGUCCGUGUUAACACCACGGACUCAUGACGGUACCAGCAGAAGAAGCACCGGCUAACUACGUGCCAGCAGCCGCGGUAAUACGUAGGGUGCAGGCGUUAAUCGGAAUUACUGGGCGUAAAGCGUGCGCAGGCGGUUUGCUAAGAGAGAUGUGAAAUCCCCGGGCUUAACCUGGGAACUGCGUUUCUAACUGGCAGGCUUGAGUGUGGCAGAGGGGGUGGAAUUCCACGUGUAGCAGUGAAAUGCGUAGAGAUGUGGAGGAACACCGAUGGCGAAGGCAGCCCCUGGGCUAACACUGACGCUCAUGCACGAAAGCGUGGGGAGCAAACAGGAUUAGAUACCCUGGUAGUCCACGCCCUAAACUAUGUCAACUGGUUGUCGGAGAAGCAAUUCCUU